UUGUUAUGAACCUGAGCACACACAUACAAAUGAUAGCCAUAAUGUAAAUAAAUACAGCACCUAAAAUAACUGUUAAAAAAGAUUUUUUUUUUUUUAAGUGAAAGAAAUAGUUACCUAACAAAUGAGAGGAACAGCAGUCAGUAGUUACCUGCCAGGUACCUGAGACACAGCAGUCAGUACUUACCUACCAGGUACCGAGACACAGCGGUCAGUAGUUACCUGACAGUUACCCGAGACACAGAAGUCAGUAAUUACCUGAGCCAAAGCAGUCAGUAGUUACAUGUCAGUUACCCGGGACACCGCAGUCAGUACUUACCCGAGACACCGCAGUCAGUAGUUACCCGAGACACCGCAGUCAGUAGUUACCCGAGACACCGCAGUCAAUAGUUACAGUCAACACCGGAGUCAGUAGUUACCCGAGACACCGCAGUCAGUAAUUUCAUGUCAUUUAUCUGAGACACAGCAGUCAGUAGUUACCUGAGACACAGCAGUCAGUAGUUACCUGAGACACAGCAGUCAGUAGUUACCUGAGACACAGCAGUCAGUAGUUACCUGAGACACAGCAGUCAGUAGUUACCUGAGACACAGCAGUCAGUAGUUUAAUGUCAUUUAUCUGAGACACAGCAGUCAGUAGUUAGCUAUCAGUACAUCAAAACAAAACCACGAUAACGAAAACGCACUUUGCCGUUCAGUAAAUUUAACUAUAAUGCAAUUAGCCAGCUAAUACUUAUCCCUUAUACAACAGUUUUUAGAUAAUUAAGUGAACAUAUAUAACGUCAGUCUAAAUACCAACGCAGUUCUACUGCAAAAGCAGAUCCCGAUAACCGGAAGCACUCGGCUACAAUAUGGUUAUAUUUACCAUUUAUAUAAAUGUUAACUCACCGGUUAGCCUGAUAUAUUAGCAAAGCGUGCUACCGUUCUCCUACCCGCUUUGCGACAAGUCCCGCCUCCUGGACUAGGAUUGGCCAAGAUUUCACUAUGACCGUGCGUAUGAACGAUCUAACCAAUCAUAAUACCAGACGGUGGCUACUACUACCCAAUCAUAACACUGGAACGUAAUACAAGUAGGACAGAGAGAACAACAUCAUAACACGCUAGCUUAGGCACAACGCAGGUCCUCGGUAACAAGUAAUUUGCAACGAACACACAGGGUGAACUUUAGAUAAGCCAACAGACGCACUGUCGCAUUGUAAUAAUGUCAAGUGCCUUUCAAACAAAUCAUAUAUAAGCAGAUACCCUUUAAUCCAGCGCACACCCCACUGAUCCGGUACCGAGCUGACAAAAUCUCCCGCCACUUUGGCUCAUUGAGUUUAAUAACUUCCACCGAGCCGAUUUCCGUUUUCCCGGCAAAAUUGCGCAGAACCCAGAGAGCACGCUGAUUGGUCUAAAUCCAGGAAGUGGCUGUUUUACGUGCUUCAACGACCAUAUUGGACGAGUAGGCUUGCAAAAACCCUAACAGUAGCUAGAGGGCAAGCAGACACAUUUAUAAGGGUUUUCUAUUUUUAUGCAAAAAUCUUACAAAUCUAAAGCUAUAAACUGUCAAUACUAAAUUCAUUAAUUUGAAUGCAUUUGGGGAAAUUAAUUUGGGGGACACCUCCAGAGUCGGGGGUUCGAU
Long non-coding RNA from Ictalurus punctatus (channel catfish), 1615 nucleotides. NCBI's taxonomy places the organism in Eukaryota, Metazoa, Chordata, Actinopteri, Siluriformes, Ictaluridae. The record is from Ensembl.